GUUAGAUCAUUUUGAGUCAGUAAUAAUGCAGGUUUAGCUAACACUGUUUCGCCAACAGUCUGUUUAACCAAUAAUUUAUAAUUCAGUUAACAAGAGGUAAUAAAUGAGAUGGUGUGGUUCACCAUUUACUUGGAAUUAAAACUUCAUAUGUCAACUGCUGUGAACUGAAACUGGCAGUAGCUAUGUAGUACUACUCUGGAAAUGAUCACGUAGAAACAAACUAUAUAAACUGAGUCAGACAAUCCUUUCUAUGGCUUAAAACAAAUACUUUUAACGGUCAAUGUGGUCAGAUACUGCACUUUAUUCAAUGAUACUGUAAGAAAAGUUGUUAAAACAGACAAGGUCCAUCAUAUCUGUAAAGUAGCAAGUCUGCUCGGUAUUCUAUACAAUAUGCUAAGUGCUAGUAUUGGUAUGACGUUGAAGUCUAAUGCAUCUCAACUGAUAAUUACCAAUUUUGCAAGUCAUUUUAACACUAUAUGCUACUUCAUUUAGAGAGCCAUUUUGCAUUGUGUUUAUUUUAUUUUUU
This is a non-coding RNA of Pelobates cultripes (western spadefoot toad), 526 nucleotides long. The record is from the annotation of a GenBank genome assembly. Lineage: Eukaryota; Metazoa; Chordata; Amphibia; Anura; Pelobatidae.